UAAUUCCGUGCCAGCAGCCGCGGUAAUACGGAAGGUGCAAGCGUUAUCCGGUUUUAUUGGGUUUAAAGGGUGCGUAGGCGGCUUAUUAAGUCAGUUGUGAAAUCCUAGUGCUUAACGCUAGAACUGCAAUUGAUACUACUAGGCUUGAGUUAAGAAGAGGUAAGCAGAAUUUAUGGUGUAGUAGUGAAAUGCUUAGAUAUCAUAAGGAAUACCAAUAGCGUAGGCAGCUUACUAGUCUUUAACUGACGCUGAGGCACGAAAGCGUGGGGAGCAAACAGGAUUAGAUACCCUGGUAGUCCACGCUGUAAACGAUGAUCACUCGAUAUACAUGAUGCUUCAUGUGUGUCUAAG
This 351-nucleotide ribosomal RNA is filed under the name Cardinium endosymbiont of Amphitetranychus viennensis. RNAcentral's name for it is "bacterial SSU rRNA". It matches the Rfam family "Bacterial small subunit ribosomal RNA", at positions 498 to 851 of the family's 1533-position model. The record is from RNAcentral. Lineage: Bacteria; Pseudomonadati; Bacteroidota; Cytophagia; Cytophagales; Amoebophilaceae. RNAcentral also lists the same sequence under 1 other name.